CUCCUCAACGCCCUCCUGCCCCGCGCCGUGCCACCCCGGGACAUCUGUCCCCGGCCACAGAUGUCACAGUUCCUGUGCCUGAGGAACAUCCGCACCUUCCUGACGGCGUGCGCCGACAAAUUCGGGCUCCCCAAGCACCGGCUCUUCGGAGCCUUCGACCUCUUCGACGUCCAGGAUUUCGGCAAGGUGAUCGAGACGCUCUCGACGCUGUCCUGGACCCCGAUCGCGCAGAGCAAAGGAUUCACG
Molecule: non-coding RNA, 246 nt
Organism: Sturnus vulgaris (Common starling)
Lineage: Eukaryota; Metazoa; Chordata; Aves; Passeriformes; Sturnidae
Source: RefSeq, a predicted model, not a curated record